GAGAGUUAAAUAGUACGUGAAAUUGUUGAAAGGGAAACGAUUGAAGUCAGUCAUGCUAGUGAAAAAUCAGUUUGACGGGUUUUGAGUUCGGGAGUAGAGGCAGGGUCAAACCGUUUCUCUUUUGGACUUGAGAUUUGUCGGAUGUACUUUUUCUUUGGCAGGUCAGCGUCGGUUUCGGAGGUUGUAAAAUACUUGGGGGAAAGUAGCUCUGCUUCGGGAGAGUGUUAUAGACCCUGGGGGAUGCAGCCUGCGGGAUCGAGGAUUGCAGCAAAUGCUUUUUGGCUUGUCGCCUGAUCUCUGGAUGUUACCUUGCUUGUGACAACAUUCUUGCCACCGGUGAGUACUAAUGCCCAUUAGGUUAGAACGAUCAAAAAUUUGCUAAGGAUGCUGACGUAAUGGCUUUAAACGA
This 409-nucleotide ribosomal RNA is filed under the name uncultured Diversispora. RNAcentral's name for it is "partial 28S ribosomal RNA". Lineage: Eukaryota; Fungi; Glomeromycota; Glomeromycetes; Diversisporales; Diversisporaceae. The record is from RNAcentral.